CCUACGGGAGGCAGCAGUAGGGAAUUUUCGGCAAUGGGGGGAACCCUGAACGAGCAACGCCGCGUGAACGAAGAAGUUCUUCGUAAUGUAAAGUUCUUUUAACAGGGAAGAAAGAUAAAUUUGACGGUACCUGACGAAUAAGCUCCGGCUAACUACGUGCCAGCAGCCGCGGUAAUACGUAGGGAGCGAGCGUUAUCCGUAAUUAUUGGGCGAAAAGGGUGCGUAGAUGGCAUAGUAAGUCUUUUGUAAAAAUGCUGGGCUCAACCCAGUAGGGCAAAAGAUACUGCAAAGCUAGAGUAUGACUGAGGCAAGUGGAACUACAUGUGUAGCGGUAAAAUGCGUAAAUAUAUGUAAGAACACCAGUGGCGAAGGCGGCUUGCUGGGUCGAUACUGACAUUGAGGCACGAAAGCGUGGGGAGCAAACAGGAUUAGAUACCCCAGUAGUC
This 446-nucleotide ribosomal RNA is filed under the name uncultured bacterium. Its description in RNAcentral is "partial 16S ribosomal RNA". It matches the Rfam family "Bacterial small subunit ribosomal RNA", at positions 338 to 795 of the family's 1533-position model. The record is from RNAcentral.